GGGCCUAUAGCUCAGUCGGUUAGAGCGUUGCCCUGAUAAGGCAAAGGUCACUGGUUCAAGUCCAGUUAGGCCCACCC
RNAcentral lists this transfer RNA (77 nucleotides) under Microlunatus elymi. Its description in RNAcentral is "Microlunatus sp. KUDC0627 tRNA-Ile". It matches the Rfam family "tRNA". From Rfam's summary of the family: Transfer RNA (tRNA) molecules are approximately 80 nucleotides in length. Their secondary structure includes four short double-helical elements and three loops (D, anti-codon, and T loops). The record is from RNAcentral. Lineage: Bacteria; Bacillati; Actinomycetota; Actinomycetes; Propionibacteriales; Propionibacteriaceae.